GCCCCAGUAGCUCAGCGGUAGAGCAAAUUGCCAUUCAUGGGAAAGGCCCAAAGCUCGCAAUGGAUCACAGUUGCCGAUGGUUCAAGUCCAUCCUGGGGCAUCA
Molecule: transfer RNA, 103 nt
Filed under: Nitrosomonadaceae bacterium
Lineage: Bacteria; Pseudomonadati; Pseudomonadota; Betaproteobacteria; Nitrosomonadales; Nitrosomonadaceae
Description: tRNA-Glu
Rfam family: tRNA
About the family: Transfer RNA (tRNA) molecules are approximately 80 nucleotides in length. Their secondary structure includes four short double-helical elements and three loops (D, anti-codon, and T loops).
Source: RNAcentral